Molecule: ribosomal RNA, 465 nt
Filed under: uncultured bacterium
Lineage: Bacteria
Description: partial 16S ribosomal RNA
Rfam family: Bacterial small subunit ribosomal RNA
Source: RNAcentral
CUACGGGCCGCAGCAGUGAGGAAUUUUGCGCAAUGGGGGAAACCCUGACGCAGCAACGCCGCGUGAGUGAAGAAGGCCUUUGGGUCGUAAAGCUCUGUCAACUGGGAAGAAAUUAACAUCAAUUAAUAGUUGUCGUUAUUGACGGUACCAGUGGAGGAAGCGCCGGCUAACUCCGUGCCAGCAGCCGCGGUAACACGGGGGGCGCAAGCGUUAUUCGGAAUUAUUGGGCGUAAAGGGCGCGCAGGCGGUUUUGUCGGUCAGGUGUGAAAGCCCGGGGCUCAACCCUGGAAGUGCACUUGAAACAGCAAGACUUGAGUACGGGAGAGGAAAGCGGAAUUCCUGGUGUAGAGGUGAAAUUCGUAGAUAUCAGGAGGAACACCGAUGGCGAAGGCAGCUUUCUGGACCGAUACUGACGCUGAGGCGCGAAGGCGUGGGUAGCGAACGGGAUUAGAUACCCUCGUAGUC